RNAcentral lists this ribosomal RNA (164 nucleotides) under uncultured bacterium. RNAcentral describes it as "partial 16S rRNA". It matches the Rfam family "Bacterial small subunit ribosomal RNA", at positions 355 to 511 of the family's 1533-position model. The record is from RNAcentral.
UAGGGAAUCUUCCACAAUGGGCGAAAGCCUGAUGGAGCUACGCCGCGUGUGUGAUGAAGGGUUUCGGCUCGUAAAACACUGUUGUAAGAGAAGAAUGACAUUGAGAGUAACUGUUCAAUGUGUGACGGUAUCUUACCAGAAAGGAACGGCUAAAUACGUGCCAG